RNAcentral lists this long non-coding RNA (215 nucleotides) under Elaeis guineensis (African oil palm). RNAcentral's name for it is "long non-coding RNA (EGUI_LNC024082)". Lineage: Eukaryota; Viridiplantae; Streptophyta; Magnoliopsida; Arecales; Arecaceae. The record is from RNAcentral.
CAUACCAUGGUCAUCAUCUAUGGAGAUCAUUGAUCCACGUAAAGGUAUGGAAAUCAGAUCUUCUGUUUGUAUUUAUAUUUCUAAUAAUCAAAAUUUUCAGACUGAAUGUUUCAUGUUCAUUGAUCCUUGAUCUGAUGCAUGUCUAGAUUAAAAUAAUUUUAAUCAAAGUUUUUAUUUCAUUGCAAUUAAAUCUGAAAAUUUUAAAAAAAUACAUA